This is a long non-coding RNA of Hylaeus anthracinus, 1350 nucleotides long. RefSeq lists it as uncharacterized. The record is from RefSeq and is a predicted model, not a curated record. The transcript is spliced from 4 exons. NCBI's taxonomy places the organism in Eukaryota, Metazoa, Arthropoda, Insecta, Hymenoptera, Colletidae.
CAACAUUGUUUAAAAACAAUUAUUUCAAAUAAUAUAAAAAAGUCGAUUGUAUCUUCUAUUCUAAAACGGAUAUGUGCAUCGCCUCGUUAAGGGACACGUAUCUACGAUCAGUAAACAAUGUGAAUAAUUUGAUUCGUAUUUCGAUUAUUCUAUAACUAAAAGAUACUGUUAAAAAUGACCGAUAGUGCGAGUGCUGGUUAGCAGACAAUUGAUUCGAUUAAAUGGCUCGAAAUUCAAAUCGAAGCUUCUUGGGUUUCGCUAAUUCGUUUUACUUGUCCUUGCACUUUGUCGACUUCUCGAUCACUCGCAGAUCUCAACUAUGCACGACACAAAGUCAAACGACCGCUCAAGGUGAUCGAGGAAAUAGUCCCAUCAUUCCAUUUCUCGUUUUUUUUUUUCAUUUCGCUUCACUGCUGUACAUGGGACACGUGCGUGUUUUCUCUCCCAGACAAAAUAAGUGUCAAACAGCGAUCAGCAAAAUAGAAGUUUUAUAUCUCUUUAUCGUUAUGAAACUACGUUCAAUCAGAUCGAUGACAUUUUUCAACGAAAAAUGAUAAAAGCACAGACAUCGCUAAAGACAACGUAUCCAAGUUUCAACGAAAUUCAAAAUGUUUUCUCGAAGCGUACGUGCUCUCGCACGAAACAAAUCUAUCGCAUGAUCGAUUAGCACCUACGUAACAACGUGUACGUUCGUAAACAAUGAGUAAUAUUGCUGAAAAAUAAGGAGAAACAGAAACAGAAACAGAAACGAAGGCAUAUGUUCAAGCAACCACGAUUACGUUAAAAAUAGACGAGAAGCCUUCGGUUCUUCGAAAUUAAAAUGAACCAUGGAAUACUCUGUUAGCGAUGUAAACACUUCACCGACUUGGCUUUGCAAAACCGACGAAACAAAAGUAAUUAGCUAAUCUUUUGGUAAAGACACGUAUGCACAUACCUGUUGCAGUAACGAUGUUACGCGCUAAUCGUCAGCCUCACUACAGAAGAGCUGCGAAGAACGAAAUCCAACUGACGACUAAGCUUCGCGUCGCUAUGCAUGUUCAAAUUUUGUAUACGUAUGGUUGUGUACAUAAGACACGCAAACGUUAGAGGAAAGGUGGGAGGAUUACAUUGCCCAAUGGGAGACUUCUGAGAAGUGACGUAGAGAUAUGUAUGCAUACAUACAGGCGGUUAUCUGAACGCGAUUCAUACACAGGAAAAGCAGAAAGCUUAUAAUAUUAUACCGAAAAAUAAUUGUCAGUUCCCCGAAAACAAUUACUGAAGAUUCGAACAAAAAGAAUUGCGUAAUACAAAACGUUCUCCUGUUUAUCACUCGUCUAUAUAUGGAAUAAAUGCUAAAUAUACAUAUAUAGG